AUUGAACGCUGGCGGCAGGCCUAACACAUGCAAGUCGAGCGGGGUUUUCGGACCUAGCGGCGGACGGGUGAGUAAUGCGUAGGAAGCUACCCGAUAGAGGGGAUACCAGUUGGAAACGACUGUUAAUACCGCAUAAUGUCUACGGACCAAAGUGUGGGACCUUCGGGCCACAUGCUAUCGGAUGCGCCUACGUGGGAUUAGCUAGUUGGUGAGGUAAUGGCUCACCAAGGCGACGAUCUCUAGCUGGUUUGAGAGGAUGAUCAGCCACACUGGAACUGAGACACGGUCCAGACUCCUACGGGAGGCAGCAGUGGGGAAUAUUGGACAAUGGGCGCAAGCCUGAUCCAGCCAUGCCGCGUGUGUGAAGAAGGCCU
Molecule: ribosomal RNA, 374 nt
Filed under: uncultured bacterium
Lineage: Bacteria
Description: bacterial SSU rRNA
Rfam family: Bacterial small subunit ribosomal RNA
Source: RNAcentral